This 406-nucleotide ribosomal RNA is filed under the name uncultured bacterium. Its description in RNAcentral is "bacterial SSU rRNA". It matches the Rfam family "Bacterial small subunit ribosomal RNA", at positions 355 to 775 of the family's 1533-position model. The record is from RNAcentral.
UGGGGAAUAUUGGGCAAUGGGCGAAAGCCUGACCCAGCAACGCCGCGUGAGGGAAGAAGGUUUUCGGAUUGUAAACCUCUGUCCUUGGGGACGAAAAAAAUGACGGUACCCAAGGAGGAAGCCCCGGCUAACUACGUGCCAGCAGCCGCGGUAAUACGUAGGGGGCGGGCGUUGUCCGGAAUUACUGGGCGUAAAGGGUGCGUAGGCGGUUUUUUAAGUCAGAUGUGAAAUCCCCGGGCUUAACUCGGGUGGUGCAUUUGAAACUGGGAGGCUAGAGUGCAGGAUAGGGAAGCGGAAUUCCUAGUGUAGCGGUGAAAUGCGUAGAUAUUAGGAGUAACACCAGUGGCGAAGGCUGCUUUCUGGACUGUAACUGACGCUGAGGCACGAAAGCGUGGGGAGCAAACAG